CUCCAGCAGCUCUUCAGACAGUGACAGUGAGGAUGACAAGAAGAAGAAGAAGGAGAAGAAGAAGAAAAAGGAUGAGGAGAAAGAGUACGUUUGGGACAAUGUCAUCAUAUCUUAUGUUGGUUGCGAUGGACAAGUGGAACAGGUUUCUGGAGAGGGUCUGAUCAAGAGCCAGGAUUUGGGCUCAUCAGAUGAUGACGAUGACA
Molecule: long non-coding RNA, 203 nt
Organism: Seriola dumerili (greater amberjack)
Lineage: Eukaryota; Metazoa; Chordata; Actinopteri; Carangiformes; Carangidae
Exons: 4
Source: RefSeq, a predicted model, not a curated record